CUGUACCUCAGCAAAAGGGAAGACCAUCCAAGGUCUUAAAGUACCAAAGGGAGAAAAAACACUGAGAUUCAUACCCUGGUGUGGGCUGGGACUUCAUGAGUGUUAUGAGUGGGUCUGAAUUGUGACAAGUUGUUAUCUCUUGACAGGUUGGAGAAGGGUAUCAAGUGAUGAUCAUUCUAAUUCCUGACCAGGAAGUAGGCCCAGAUUACUGUUUUGCUGAAAAUGAGGAGGAGUUUUUUCAUCCAAGAAGAACUGGGCCUCCUUACAUUCGGGUGGAUUCAUAAUUGGAAUUUUCACAUUGGCACCUACUGGACUAAAAGAAAAUAUCCCAUUGUCCACUGAGGGGGUUCCAUUCCCACAAACAGGACACAGGUCUCUUUUGUGACUGUUUCCAUGUCACCAUCCAGAAUACUAUGGUGACUAUCACAGUUUUGAACCAGUGGAAGGGAAAGCCCUUG
RNAcentral lists this small RNA (458 nucleotides) under Rattus norvegicus (Norway rat). RNAcentral describes it as "uncharacterized LOC108349461". The record is from RNAcentral. Lineage: Eukaryota; Metazoa; Chordata; Mammalia; Rodentia; Muridae.